ACUCAGGUGUUGUUGGGUAGGGGAGCGUUCUGUAAGCCUGCGAAGGUGGCCUGUGAGGGUUGCUGGAGGUAUCAGAAGUGCGAAUGCUGACAUAAGUAACGAUAAAGCGGGUGAAAAGCCCGCUCGCCGGAAGACCAAGGGUUCCUGUCCAACGUUAAUCGGGGCAGGGUGAGUCGACCCCUAAGGCGAGGCCGAAAGGCGUAGUCGAUGGGAAACGGGUUAAUAUUCCCGUACUUGGUGUUACUGCGAAGGGGGGACGGAGAAGGCUAUGUUGGCCGGGCGACGGUUGUCCCGGUUUAAGCGUGUAGGUGUGUGUUCCAGGUAAAUCCGGUUCACUUUAACACUGAGGCGUGAUGACGAGGCACUACGGUGCUGAAGCAACAAAUGCCCUGCUUCCAGGAAAAGCCUCUAAGCAUCAGGUAACAUCAAAUCGUACCCCAAACCGACACAGGUGGUCAGGUAGAGAAUACCAAGGCGCUUGAGAGAACUCGGGUGAAGGAACUAGGCAAAAUGGUGCCGUAACUUCGGGAGAAGGCACGCUGACACGUAGGUGAAGUGAUUUACUCAUGGAGCUGAAGUCAGUCGAAGAUACCAGCUGGCUGCAACUGUUUAUUAAAAACACAGCACUGUGCAAACACGAAAGUGGACGUAUACGGUGUGACGCCUGCCCGGUGCCGGAAGGUUAAUUGAUGGGGUCAGCGCAAGCGAAGCUCCUGAUCGAAGCCCCGGUAAACGGCGGCCGUAACUAUAACGGUCCUAAGGUAGCGAAAUUCCUUGUCGGGUAAGUUCCGACCUGCACGAAUGGCGUAAUGAUGGCCAGGCUGUCUCCACCCGAGACUCAGUGAAAUUGAACUCGCUGUGAAGAUGCAGUGUACCCGCGGCAAGACGGAAAGACCCCGUGAACCUUUACUAUAGCUUGACACUGAACAUUGAGCCUUGAUGUGUAGGAUAGGUGGGAGGCUUUGAAGUGUGGACGCCAGUCUGCAUGGAGCCGACCUUGAAAUACCACCCUUUAAUGUUUGAUGUUCUAACGUGGACCCGUGAUCCGGGUUGCGGACAGUGUCUGGUGGGUAGUUUGACUGGGGCGGUCUCCUCCUAAAGAGUAACGGAGGAGCACGAAGGUUGGCUAAUCCUGGUCGGACAUCAGGAGGUUAGUGCAAUGGCAUAAGCCAGCUUGACUGCGAGCGUGACGGCGCGAGCAGGUGCGAAAGCAGGUCAUAGUGAUCCGGUGGUUCUGAAUGGAAGGGCCAUCGCUCAACGGAUAAAAGGUACUCCGGGGAUAACAGGCUGAUACCGCCCAAGAGUUCAUAUCGACGGCGGUGUUUGGCACCUCGAUGUCGGCUCAUCACAUCCUGGGGCUGAAGUAGGUCCCAAGGGUAUGGCUGUUCGCCAUUUAAAGUGGUACGCGAGCUGGGUUUAGAACGUCGUGAGACAGUUCGGUCCCUAUCUGCCGUGGGCGCUGGAGAACUGAGGGGGGCUGCUCCUAGUACGAGAGGACCGGAGUGGACGCAUCACUGGUGUUCGGGUUGUCAUGCCAAUGGCACUGCCCGGUAGCUAAAUGCGGAAGAGAUAAGUGCUGAAAGCAUCUAAGCACGAAACUUGCCCCGAGA
This 1610-nucleotide ribosomal RNA is filed under the name Salmonella enterica. RNAcentral describes it as "partial 23S ribosomal RNA". It matches the Rfam family "Bacterial large subunit ribosomal RNA", at positions 1211 to 2804 of the family's 2925-position model. Lineage: Bacteria; Pseudomonadati; Pseudomonadota; Gammaproteobacteria; Enterobacterales; Enterobacteriaceae. The record is from RNAcentral. RNAcentral also lists the same sequence under 1 other name.